This is a non-coding RNA of Heterocephalus glaber (naked mole-rat), 69 nucleotides long. Lineage: Eukaryota; Metazoa; Chordata; Mammalia; Rodentia; Bathyergidae. The record is from Rfam.
GGGGAUGAAGCUCAGUGCUAGAGCACUUGCCUAGCAUGUAUUAGGUCCUGGGUUUGAUCCCCAGCACCA